AUCCUACGGGAGGCAGCAGUGGGGAAUAUUGCACAAUGGGCGCAAGCCUGAUGCAGCCAUGCCGCGUGUAUGAAGAAGGCCUUCGGGUUGUAAAGUACUUCAGCAGUGAGGAAGGUGGGUAUGUUAAUAGCAUAUCAUUUGACGUUAGCUGCAGAAGAAGCACCGGCUAACUCCGUGCCAGCAGCCGCGGUAAUACGGAGGGUGCGAGCGUUAAUCGGAAUUACUGGGCGUAAAAGCGCAUGCAGGUGGUUUGUUAAGUCAGAUGUGAAAGCCCGGGGCUCAACCUCGGAAUUGCAUUUGAAAACUGGCAAACUAGAGUACUGUAGAGGGGGUAGAAUUUCAGGUGUAGCGGUGAAAUGCGUAGAGAUCUGAAGGAAUACCGGUGGCGAAGGCGGCCCCCUGGACAGAUACUGACACUCAGAUGCGAAAGCGUGGGGAGCAAACAGGAUUAGAUACCCUGGUAG
This 464-nucleotide ribosomal RNA is filed under the name uncultured bacterium. RNAcentral's name for it is "bacterial SSU rRNA". It matches the Rfam family "Bacterial small subunit ribosomal RNA", at positions 335 to 793 of the family's 1533-position model. The record is from RNAcentral.